GAUGAAGAACGCAGUGAAGUGCGAUAUGUAGUGUGAAUUGCAGAAUUCCGUGAAUCAUCGAAUCUUUGAACGCAUAUUGCACUCUCUGGUAUUCCGGAGAGUAUGCCUAUUUGAGGGUCAUGUGAAACAUACAUUCUAGAUUUCCUAGAACAAAAUGGGUCAUCCAGAUUUUAUUUCAUGGUUACCUAAAAUACAAGACAAGCUCAUUUUUUUGGGUUACGUGAUACUUGUUAUUCGUGACAUUCCGAGAAAUAUGUGGCGUGUUGUAAUUUUGCAAAAGCGAAUGGAAAUUCGUCUCUGCGAAAUAGAAAUUGAAUCUUGACCUCAAAUUAGGUAGGAGUACCCGCUGAACUUAAGCAUAUCAAUAAGCGGAGGA
Molecule: unclassified non-coding RNA, 376 nt
Filed under: soil metagenome
Description: partial contains 5.8S ribosomal RNA, internal transcribed spacer 2, and large subunit ribosomal RNA
Rfam family: 5.8S ribosomal RNA (bases 1-120)
Source: RNAcentral